RNAcentral lists this ribosomal RNA (486 nucleotides) under uncultured bacterium. Its description in RNAcentral is "partial 16S ribosomal RNA". It matches the Rfam family "Bacterial small subunit ribosomal RNA", at positions 899 to 1397 of the family's 1533-position model. The record is from RNAcentral.
ACUCAAAUGAAUAGACGGGGACCCGCACAAGCGGUGGAUGAUGCGGUUUAAUUCGAAGCUACGCGAAGAACCUUACCAAGGCUUGACAUCCUAGGAACCUCCGGGAAACCAGAGGGUGCCUUCGGGAGCCUAGUGACAGGUGCUGCAUGGCCGUCGUCAGCUCGUGUCGUGAGAUGUUGGGUUAAGUCCCGCAACGAGCGCAACCCUUAUGGUAUGUUGUAUUUUUCAUGCCAGACUGCCCGGGAUAACCGGGAGGAAGGUGGGGAUGACGUCAGGUCAGCAUGGCCCUUACGCCUUGGGCCACACGCGUCAUACAAUGGCCGGUACAAUGCGUUUGCCAACCCGCGAGGGGGAGCUAAUCGCACCAAAACCGGUCCCAGUUCGGAUUGUAGGCUGCAACUCGCCUACAUGAAGUCGGAAUCGCUAGUAACCGUAGGUCAGCAUACUACGGUGAAUACGUUCCCGGGUCUUGUACACACCGCCCGU